This 433-nucleotide ribosomal RNA is filed under the name uncultured Lachnospiraceae bacterium. Its description in RNAcentral is "partial 16S ribosomal RNA". It matches the Rfam family "Bacterial small subunit ribosomal RNA", at positions 341 to 792 of the family's 1533-position model. The record is from RNAcentral. Lineage: Bacteria; Bacillati; Bacillota; Clostridia; Lachnospirales; Lachnospiraceae.
ACGGGAGGCAGCAGUGGGGAAUAUUGCACAAUGGGGGAAACCCUGAUGCAGCGACGCCGCGUGGUGAUGAAGUAUUUCGGUACGUAAAGCCCUAUCAGCAGGGAAGAUAAUGACGGUACCUGACUAAGAAGCUCCGGCUAAAUACGUGCCAGCAGCCGCGGUAAUACGUAUGGAGCAAGCGUUAUCCGGAUUUACUGGGUGUAAAGGGAGCGCAGGCGGUUUUGUAAGUUGGGUGUGAAAGCCCGGGGCUCAACCCCGGGACUGCACCCAAAACUGCAGGACUAGAGUGUCGGAGGGGCAAGCGGAAUUCCUAGUGGAGCGGUGAAAUGCACAGAUAUUAGGAGGAACACCGGUGGCGAAGGCGGCUUGCUGGACGAUAACUGACGCUGAGGCUCGAAAGCGUGGGGAGCAAACAGGAUUAGAUACCCUGGUA